UACGAAGGGGGCUAGCGUUGUUCGGAAUCACUGGGCGUAAAGGGCGCGUAGGCGGCCUUGUAAGUCGGGGGUGAAAGCCUGUGGCUCAACCACAGAAUUGCCUUCGAUACUGCGAGGCUUGAGACCGGAAGAGGUCAGUGGAACUGCGAGUGUAGAGGUGAAAUUCGUAGAUAUUCGCAAGAACACCAGUGGCGAAGGCGGCUGACUGGUCCGGUUCUGACGCUGAGGCGCGAAAGCGUGGGGAGCGAACGGG
This 253-nucleotide ribosomal RNA is filed under the name uncultured bacterium. RNAcentral describes it as "partial 16S ribosomal RNA". It matches the Rfam family "Bacterial small subunit ribosomal RNA", at positions 524 to 776 of the family's 1533-position model. The record is from RNAcentral.